GCUUUUUUAUUAUUCAUUUUUUUAUUAUUGUUAAUAAUAAUAAUGAAUAUCGGAUCUUUUUGAUGGUGUUUGGUUUUUGAUUUGCAAAUGUUGGUUGUGAAUCUCUUUGCUUUAGUGGCGAUAAAUCAGCAUUCAAUGAUGUCGUGUAAAGAUGAGAUGAUGAGUUUGAUAUUUUGUUUCUUAGAAUCUGUGUUUUGAGCAUUUUUAAUUUUCCAUGAGAAAAAGAAUUUGGGGCGAAUAAUAUGUGUACCUGAAACCAGAUCAACUUUCUAUUUAUUCUUACACUGGAAAUCAAAAUUCUUGCUUUUUCUAAAUUUUGGGUUCAUCAUUUACUGCCUUCAUCAGUAGCAUGACUUACUUUAUUUUUCUUUUCACAAUUCUUAAUUUUUUUGUUUGUUUCCUGCAUUUGCUGCCUUCAACAGUAGCAUGAUUUAUUCUGUUUUUCUUUUCCCAAUUCAUAAUUUUUUUUUGUUUCCUCAUUAAUGCAUGAUGCAGUUUCUUUUCAACCAGAUUACGGUAAGAAAUUUACGACAAUCGAUAUUAUUUCCAAGAUUUAGUUUUUUCCUUCUUCAGAAGAUAAAUAUGGAUACCAUAAAUUGAUAUUAUUCCCAAUAAAUCGUCUUUUAUUUUUGGAAUUUCCGGGCUUAGUCGAAUUCUAUAUAAAGCACUCGCACAACGAUGAUGGUGAUAUAUCCUCGCAGCGAAGGAUUAAGCGAUGAACUUUUAUCUUUCAUAUUGAUCAUAAUCGUUCCUCAUAGUCAAUAUUGAGACAAUAAAAUUAAAUCUGGACGUUUAAUUUCGUACGAGUGUACAGGUACGUUCAAAAGUGUUUCAUGGGAAACUCGAAAGUGUUUAUGGGAAUCCUGAUCAAAAUGAUUGGUGUACCGUGGAGGAAAUCCCGCGGCUGCACCAUGUGAGAGAGCAAAAAAAAGAAGGGCCCCACCUUUGGCCCCACCUCCUGCAAAUCCCCCUAGGGCUGCCCUAACAACCCUUGGAUUUGUUUGCAGUGCAGAUCGUGGUACACACCUUCGGUGUGUAUCAUCACUCUAAUAUUAUAUUGUAUAAUACUCUUGAGGACUUAAUCGGGGAGAAGAAGGUAACAUCCAAGCGUCUUAUCCCUAAAAAAGAGCUAUAAUGUCCCCAGACAUACCUGAUACUUCUCUUCCUCAAAGCCUCGAAAACAAAACUUACUUAUCCUGCUUACUCCAACAAAUCUUAGUCCUCCUCCGCCUGCCCAACGGGACAUCCGUAUUAAUCGUAAGUCGUGCAAGGAAAGUGACAAACGGGCUGAUGGAUAUGCAGCUGAUUAUAUUUUUUACACUUCAGCAUCCAAUGGAGUUUUGGGUUUGUAAAAAACUGAUUCCAUGUACUUUAAUAAUAGAAAGUCUCUCUAACGGAAUGUUUCUUUGACAUGCAAAAGGGCCUUAUGCAUCGGUGUGGUUAGCGGCGUCAAUAAUUGUUCAAACUAGAGUGAUUCCAAACUACAAGAACCUACUUUAAGAAUAGCAUUUUUUCAUACAGCACAUCCAACAGAUAAGAUAAAAUUGAGUUACAAGUUACUUAAGGAUAACUCAGAGUUACGAAUUAGUGGGUGGUUCCCUAUUGAUAUUGUGGGUUCUUACAAAAAUCUGUCUGUUGAUAUCCUACCCAGAGUCGUGUCUUUUCGUUAAAAAAUUUUAGGAUGUAAAAGAGAAUCCAAAGAUAGUGUUGGUGCUA
This is a long non-coding RNA of Papaver somniferum (opium poppy), 1716 nucleotides long. RefSeq lists it as uncharacterized. Lineage: Eukaryota; Viridiplantae; Streptophyta; Magnoliopsida; Ranunculales; Papaveraceae. The transcript is spliced from 4 exons. The record is from RefSeq and is a predicted model, not a curated record.